GCCAUCGUAGCUCAGUAGGUGGAGCAUCCGGCUGUUAGCUGGUUAUUACCCAGGGCAGAGACCGGAAGGUCACCGGUUCGAGUCCGGUCGAUGGCG
RNAcentral lists this transfer RNA (96 nucleotides) under marine sediment metagenome. It matches the Rfam family "tRNA". From Rfam's summary of the family: Transfer RNA (tRNA) molecules are approximately 80 nucleotides in length. Their secondary structure includes four short double-helical elements and three loops (D, anti-codon, and T loops). The record is from RNAcentral.